Molecule: long non-coding RNA, 280 nt
Filed under: Solanum melongena (eggplant)
Lineage: Eukaryota; Viridiplantae; Streptophyta; Magnoliopsida; Solanales; Solanaceae
Description: long non-coding RNA (SMEL_LNC000084)
Source: RNAcentral
UGCUCUAGCUUUGUUAGCCGUGCGGACAGCUGAUGAUGCAAGACUCUCCAAUGGGCUCAUUGGCAAUGGGGUACACCUGAUCAUUUCCUUGAAGAUAGCCUCGUUGUCAAGUGAAGACUCUGCUUCAAUGCAGAUUCGUGACAUGAUUUUUACCGCCAGCUCAGGAUAAGCACCAGCUGCACUCUCCCCACUUAACAUAACACAAUCAGUGCCAUCCAAGACAGCAUUAGCCACAUCAGUAGCCUCAGCACGGGUGGGUCGUGGAGACUUGAUCAUUGAU